This 501-nucleotide ribosomal RNA is filed under the name Enterococcus lactis. Its description in RNAcentral is "bacterial SSU rRNA". It matches the Rfam family "Bacterial small subunit ribosomal RNA", at positions 896 to 1398 of the family's 1533-position model. The record is from RNAcentral. Lineage: Bacteria; Bacillati; Bacillota; Bacilli; Lactobacillales; Enterococcaceae.
UAAACUCAAAUGAAUUGACGGGGGCCCGCACAAGCGGUGGAGCAUGUGGUUUAAUUCGAAGCAACGCGAAGAACCUUACCAGGUCUUGACAUCCUUUGACCACUCUAGAGAUAGAGCUUCCCCUUCGGGGGCAAAGUGACAGGUGGUGCAUGGUUGUCGUCAGCUCGUGUCGUGAGAUGUUGGGUUAAGUCCCGCAACGAGCGCAACCCUUAUUGUUAGUUGCCAUCAUUCAGUUGGGCACUCUAGCAAGACUGCCGGUGACAAACCGGAGGAAGGUGGGGAUGACGUCAAAUCAUCAUGCCCCUUAUGACCUGGGCUACACACGUGCUACAAUGGGAAGUACAACGAGUUGCGAAGUCGCGAGGCUAAGCUAAUCUCUUAAAGCUUCUCUCAGUUCGGAUUGCAGGCUGCAACUCGCCUGCAUGAAGCCGGAAUCGCUAGUAAUCGCGGAUCAGCACGCCGCGGUGAAUACGUUCCCGGGCCUUGUACACACCGCCCGUA